This 253-nucleotide ribosomal RNA is filed under the name uncultured bacterium. Its description in RNAcentral is "partial 16S ribosomal RNA". It matches the Rfam family "Bacterial small subunit ribosomal RNA", at positions 524 to 776 of the family's 1533-position model. The record is from RNAcentral.
UACAGAGGGUGCAAGCGUUAAUCGGAAUUACUGGGCGUAAAGCGUGUGUAGGUGGUUGAUUAAGUCAGAUGUGAAAGCCCCGGGCUUAACCUGGGGAUUGCAUCUGAUACUGGUUGACUAGAGUAUGGUAGAGGAUGGCGGAAUUUCCGGUGUAGCGGUGAAAUGCGUAGAUAUCGGAAGGAACACCAGUGGCGAAGGCGGCCGUCUGGGCCAAUACUGACACUGAGACACGAAAGCGUGGGUAGCAAACAGG